This 301-nucleotide ribosomal RNA is filed under the name uncultured bacterium. RNAcentral describes it as "partial 16S ribosomal RNA". It matches the Rfam family "Bacterial small subunit ribosomal RNA", at positions 509 to 807 of the family's 1533-position model. The record is from RNAcentral.
CAGUCGCCACGGGAAUACAGAGGGUGCAAGCGUUAAUCGGAAUUACUGGGCGUAAAGCGCGCGUAGGUGGUUUGUUAAGUUGGAUGUGAAAUCCCCGGGCUCAACCUGGGAACUGCAUCCAAAACUGGCAAGCUAGAGUAUGGUAGAGGGUGGUGGAAUUUCCUGUGUAGCGGUGAAAUGCGUAGAUAUAGGAAGGAACACCAGUGGCGAAGGCGACCACCUGGACUGAUACUGACACUGAGGUGCGAAAGCGUGGGGAGCAAACAGGAUUAGAUACCCCUGUAGUCCCUGUCUCUUAUAC